UGCCGUUAUAGUUUGGUCCUUUUUAUGCAGUAGAUUGUAGAAAAAUGAUCAAAAACAGCUUCAAGCAAGCACAUGAGUUUGAGAAGAGACGCGCUGAAUCUCACUCUGCCAUUCGCCCCUCCGUCCUCUCAUGAUCUCUCACACCCUCUCUCUAAUUUCAGAACAAUAUUAAGCAGCUUAAGCUCUCUUUGCAUUGAAUCAAUGGCAGUCAUCUAGAGGCACUCAAAUUAGUGUUUUGGAGUGCAUCUUGACCAGACCACCACAAAAGAGAAAAUGGAAACCAAAAUCAGAGCCAUCAAAACAAACAAAUGCUGCUGAAGCCAAGUCUGGAUAGAGAGAAAGAUCUCAUGGCAGGAAUCAUGGACUUGAUGAAGGUGAGGUUAACAAAGUGUGCUUUAGCACCAAGAUUGGAAUCUGGGUGUUCUGAGUUUUGUUUUGUUGUGAUUUUCUAUAAUCUAGAUGCUGAAAUACUUGGAGUUGGAAUUAAUAAGAAUUGAUUGAA
Malus domestica (apple) is the source of this 502-nucleotide long non-coding RNA. RefSeq lists it as uncharacterized. NCBI's taxonomy places the organism in Eukaryota, Viridiplantae, Streptophyta, Magnoliopsida, Rosales, Rosaceae. The record is from RefSeq and is a predicted model, not a curated record.